AUGCGGUGGAGGGGUACGGCGCUGCCACGGUGCCUCGUCGGAAUCAGAUGGCUUGUGCUUCUCCUGCUCUCCACCAUGGGGGCGACGCGCGCACACGACAGCGAUGAGAGAGCUCUCCAAGCUUUCAAGGAAAGGAUUUCAGACCAUUCCGGGGCGCUGGCCUCCUGGAACCGGAGCAUCAGCUACUGCACCUGGGAGGGCGUCACGUGCAGCCGGCGGCACGGGUCGAGGGUGGUCGCUCUGGACCUCAACUCCCAGGGGCUCGCCGGCACCAUCUCCCCCUCCAUCGGCAACCUCACUUUCCUCCGGAGGCUCAACUUGAGCCUGAAUCCCUUGCACGGCAAGAUUCCUCCCAGCAUCGGCUCCCUCCGCCGCCUCAAGUACCUUGGACUGCGAGGGAACAUGCUCACUGGUGCGAUCCCAAGCAACAUUAGCCGCUGCACCAACCUCAGGGUGAUGAUAAUUGCUGACAACAAGGGGUUGCAAGGAAGCAUACCUUCUGAGAUCGGCAACAUGAUGCAAUCGCUGCGUGUUGUACACCUAUACAACAACAGCCUCACUGGGACCAUCCCCUCAUCACUUGGGAACCUCUCACAGGUGACCAUCUUGUCCCUGGCAGCGAACCAUCUCGAGGGAUCAAUCCCCGAGGGCAUCGGGAACAAUGCACAUCUCAAGUUCCUUCAGCUGGCCAUGAAUAACUUCUCAGGUUUGCUUCCUCUUUCGCUGUACAAUCAGUCAUCUCUGUACAUGUUUUUUGUGACGGACAACUACCUGCACGGCCGUCUACCAGCUGAUCUGGGAAGAAGCCUUCCUAGCUUACAACAGUUUGGAUUUGGGAAUAACCGAUUCACUGGAGUUGUGCCUCCAUCACUGACUAAUAUCUCCAGACUCGAGCUUUUUGAUGUUGCAAAUAACGGAUUCAGUGGGGUUGUCCCUUCAGACUUGGGAAAUUUGCAGUAUCUUAGAUGGUUUAAUCUGGUUGGAAACAAGUUUGAGGCAAACAAUGAACAAGAAUGGCGCUUCUUUACUUCUUUGACAAACUGUAGCAGGUUGCAGCUGUUAAAUAUAGAACAAAACAGGUUCUCGGGGCAAUUACCAACCUCAUUGUCUAACUUGUCCACAAACAUCCGAGAGCUAGAUAUUUUUAACAACAAUAUAUCUGGUACUAUUCCAUCGGAUAUUGGAAAUUUGAUAGGUCUUGAGGUGCUUAUUCUUGCUGGCAACUUGCUCACUGGGGCCAUUCCUGAGACCAUAGGGAAGCUUAUACGAUUGAAGAAGCUACAUCUGAGUUCCAACAACUUAUCAGGAUUCAUCCCCUCUUCCAUCGGAAACCUCACUGGUCUUUAUAGGCUUGGUGCAAGCUUCAACAGCUUGGAGGGACCGAUUCCAUCAAGCAUUGGAAAUUUGACCAAACUUUCAUCAUUAGAUAUAUCGACGAACCAUCUUUCUAGCUCAAUUCCAAAGGAAAUUACGCAACUAUCAUCCAUCUCAAUUUAUUUGGCCUUGUCUUACAACUUGCUGGAGGGACCUCUACCUUCAGAAAUUGGCAAUUUGGUAAAUCUCGAACAGCUUAUUCUAUCAGGGAACCAGUUGUCUGGUAAAAUACCUGCAACCAUUGGUGGCUGCGUAGUCCUGGAAACCCUCUUGAUGGAUGGCAAUUCAUUCCAAGGAAACAUCCCUCCCACUUUGAAGAACAUCAAAGGGCUUACUGUACUGAAUUUGACAAACAACAAACUGAACGGCAGCAUCCCAGGGGAACUGAGCAAUAUUACCAGCUUGCAGGAACUGUAUCUUGCACAUAAUGAUCUGUCAGGGUCAAUCCCUGAACUCCUGGGUUAUUCAACAUCGCUGCUCCACCUCGACAUAUCGUUCAACAGUUUACAAGGUGAGGUACCAAAAGAAGGGAUUUUCAGGAAUUUAACUGGACUAUCAAUUUUUGGAAACAAUGAGUUAUGUGGUGGAAUACCACAGCUUCAACUGCCAAAAUGCCCAAGCUCCAAGAAAGGCUUGCCGAAGUCCAUGAGAAUAGCUGUCCCUACAGCAGUUGGUACCCUCGUCUUAUUUGUAGCUCUUGCUUUAGCUGGAUUUCUGUACAGAAAAUUUAAGUCAGGAUUGAGGAAAGAACAACUGUCACCUCAGAAGAUCAUGAUUGACCUUCCAAUGGUUUCAUACAACGACAUACUCAAAGCAACGGACGGGUUUUCAGAAGCCAAUCUGCUCGGGAAGGGAAGAUACGGUACUGUAUACAAAGGCACUAUAGAAAAUUUUGCUGCAGCUGUGAAGGUGUUUAAUCUGCAGCAAUCUGGAUCCUACAAGAGCUUCCUGGAUGAAUGUGAGGCACUAAGAAGAGUUAGGCACCGUUGCCUUGUAAAGAUAAUCACAUGUUGUUCAAGCAUCAACCACCAAGGCCAAGACUUCAGAGCGCUAGUCUUCGAGCUCAUGCCCAAUUUCAGCUUAGACCGCUGGAUCCACCCAGAUAUUGAAAGCCAAAACAGAAUGGGAACACUCAGCUUGUCACAGAGGUUAAAUAUCGCCGUUGACCUCGUGGAUGCUAUAGACUAUCUUCACAAUGGUUGCCAACCUUCCAUCAUCCAUUGCGAUCUCAAGCCAAGCAACAUUCUUCUCACAGAGGACAUGAGGGCUCGUGUUGGGGAUUUUGGCAUUGCUAGAAUUCUAAAAGAAGCUGCAAGCGAAGCUUCUGCAAGUUCCCUUAGCUCCAUGGGAAUAAGAGGAUCCAUUGGAUAUGUUGCUCCAGAAUAUGGAGAAGGGCUUCCGGUAUCUACUUAUGGUGAUGUGUACAGCCUUGGGAUCACCUUGAUCGAGAUGUUUACUGGAAGGUGUCCGACAGACGACAUGUUCAGAGAUGGGCUAACCCUGCAAUGCUUUGCAGAGGCAGCAGGUCUUCCUGGGAAUGUCAUGGUGAUAGCAGACUCCAACAUCCGGCUGCAUGAUGAAGCAAACAAUAGCGCUGACGCAGAACAUAUAACCAGAGCCAAGGAAUGUUUGGCUGCCAUCAUCCAGCUUGGCAUCCUAUGCUCAAAGCAAUUGCCAAGAGAAAGGAUGUCAACAAGUGAUGCUGCUGCAGAGAUGCAUGCUAUCAGAGAUGCCUACAUCAGUAAUCAGAGAUGA
Molecule: ribosomal RNA, 3129 nt
Filed under: Triticum aestivum (bread wheat)
Lineage: Eukaryota; Viridiplantae; Streptophyta; Magnoliopsida; Poales; Poaceae
Description: partial small subunit ribosomal RNA
Source: RNAcentral